Molecule: ribosomal RNA, 494 nt
Filed under: uncultured bacterium
Lineage: Bacteria
Description: partial 16S ribosomal RNA
Rfam family: Bacterial small subunit ribosomal RNA
Source: RNAcentral
AAUGAACGCUGGCGGCGUGCCUAACACAUGCAAGUCGAACGCGAAAGUCCGCAAGGAUGAGUAAAGUGGCGCACGGGUGAGUAAUGCAUAGGAAUCUGCCUUUUAGUGGAGAAUACCCUGGAGAAAUUCAGGUUAAUACUGCAUAAUCCGGGAACGGGAAAGGUGGCCUCAAGCUACCGCUGAAAGAUGAGCCUAUGUCCUAUUAGCUAGUUGGUGAGGUAAAGGCUUACCAAGGCGAAGAUGGGUAACCGGCCUGAGAGGGCGAUCGGUCACACUGGAACUGAGACACGGUCCAGACUCCUACGGGAGGCAGCAGUGGGGAAUAUUGCACAAUGGGCGCAAGCCUGAUGCAGCGACGCCGCGUGGAGGAUGAAGGUUUUCGGAUUGUAAACUCCUGUUAAGUGGGAAGAAAGACUGCGGCCUAAUACGUCGCGGGGAUGACGGUACCACUAGAGAAAGCACCGGCAAACUUCGUGCCAGCAGCCGCGGUAAGG